UACGUAGGGGGCGAGCGUUGUCCGGAUUUAUUGGGCGUAAAGAGCGUGUAGGCGGCCAGGUAGGUCUGCUGUGAAAACUCGAGGCUCAACCUCGAGACGUCGGCGGAAACCAUCUGGCUAGAGUUCGGAAGAGGAGAGUGGAAUUCCUGGUGUAGCGGUGAAAUGCGCAGAUAUCAGGAAGAACACCCGUGGCGAAGGCGGCUCUCUGGGACGGUACUGACGCUGAGACGCGAAAGCGUGGGGAGCGAACAGG
Molecule: ribosomal RNA, 253 nt
Filed under: uncultured bacterium
Lineage: Bacteria
Description: partial 16S ribosomal RNA
Rfam family: Bacterial small subunit ribosomal RNA
Source: RNAcentral